UAGGGAAUCUUCGGCAAUGGACGAAAGUCUGACCGAGCAACGCCGCGUGAGUGAAGAAGGUUUUCGGAUCGUAAAACUCUGUUGUUAGAGAAGAACAAGGACGUUAGUAACUGAACGUCCCCUGACGGUAUCUAACCAGAAAGCUACGGCUAAUUACGUGCAAGCAGACGCGGUAAUACGUAGGUGGCAAGCGUUGUCCGGAUUUAUUGGGCGUAAAGCGAGCGCAGGCGGUUUCUUAAGUCUGAUGUGAAAGCCCCCGGCUCAACCGGGGAGGGUCAUUGGAAACUGGGAGACUUGAGUGCAGAAGAGGAGAGUGGAAUUCCAUGUGUAGCAGUGAAAUGCGUAGAUAUAUGGAGGAACACCAGUAGCGAAGGCGGCUCUCUUGUCUGUAACUGACGCUGAGGCUCGAAAGCGUGGGGAGCAAACAGG
Molecule: ribosomal RNA, 429 nt
Filed under: Gemmatimonadota bacterium
Lineage: Bacteria; Pseudomonadati; Gemmatimonadota
Description: Gemmatimonadetes bacterium partial 16S ribosomal RNA
Rfam family: Bacterial small subunit ribosomal RNA
Source: RNAcentral